UACGUAGGGGGCAAGCGUUGUCCGGAUUUAUUGGGCGUAAAGAGCGUGUAGGCGGUUAGGUAGGUCCGUUGUGAAAACUCGAGGCUCAACCUCGAGACGCCGAUGGAAACCAUCUGACUAGAGUCCGGAAGAGGAGAGUGGAAUUCCUGGUGUAGCGGUGAAAUGCGCAGAUAUCAGGAGGAACACCAAUGGCGAAGGCAGCUCGCUGGGACGUGACUGACGCUGAGACGCGAAAGCGUGGGGAGCAAACAGG
Molecule: ribosomal RNA, 253 nt
Filed under: uncultured bacterium
Lineage: Bacteria
Description: partial 16S ribosomal RNA
Rfam family: Bacterial small subunit ribosomal RNA
Source: RNAcentral